UAAUACCAGCUCUCCGAGUGGUAGGGAUGAUUAUUGGGCUUAAAGCGUCCGUAGCCGGCUUAGCAAGUCUCCUGUUAAAUUCAGCGACCUAAUCGUUGAGCCGCGGGAGAUACUACUAGGCUAGGAGGCGGGAGAGGCCGACGGUACUUCCGGGGUAGGGGUGAAAUCCUAUAAUCCCGGGCGGACCACCAGUGGCGAAGGCUGUCGGCUAGAACGCGCUCGACGGUGAGGGACGAAAGCUGGGGGAGCGAACCGGAUUAGAUACCCGGGUAGUCCCAGCCGUAAACGAUGCGGGCUAGGUGUUGGGGUGGCUACGUGCCACUUCAGUGCCGCAGGGAAGCCAUUAAGCCCGCCGCCUGGGGAGUACGGCCGCAAGGCUG
Molecule: ribosomal RNA, 380 nt
Filed under: uncultured archaeon
Lineage: Archaea
Description: bacterial SSU rRNA
Rfam family: Archaeal small subunit ribosomal RNA
Source: RNAcentral